Molecule: long non-coding RNA, 206 nt
Filed under: Actinidia chinensis (golden kiwifruit)
Lineage: Eukaryota; Viridiplantae; Streptophyta; Magnoliopsida; Ericales; Actinidiaceae
Description: long non-coding RNA (ACHI_LNC004316)
Source: RNAcentral
UCGACCAAAUGCCAUAGUGAAAACUGGGAAUACACAAGGCGAAUCAUCAGCUGCUGGGGAGGAAAGAGAUGCAGAAAAAGCCCACAAAGAGAACAAAUCCUAUGCAAGUCUCCUAACUGGAAACCAAAUGCCAUCAAAAGGAAGCCAGCUACAAUUCUUUGAUUAAGAUGAGGGGCCAGUUAUAAUAGAGGAGGAGGACAUCCAAG